GACGAACGCUGGCGGCGUGCCUAAUACAUGCAAGUAGAACGCUGAAGGAGGAGCUUGCUUCUCCGGAUGAGUUGCGAACGGGUGAGUAACGCGUAGGUAACCUGCCUGGUAGCGGGGGAUAACUCUUGGAAACGAUAGCUAAUACCGCAUAAGAGUAGAUGUCGCAUGACAUUUGCUUAAAAGGUGCAACUGCACCACUACCAGAUGGACCUGCGUUGUAUUAGCUAGUUGGUGAGGUAACGGCUCACCACGGCAACGAUACAUAGCCGACAGGAGAGGAUGAUCGGCCACACUGGGACUGAGACCCGGCCCAGACUCCUACGGGGGGCAGCAGUAGGGAAUCGUCGGGAAUGGACGGAAGGCUGACCGAGCAACGCCGCGUGAGUGAAGAAGGUUUUCGGAUCGUAAAGAUCUGUUGUAAGAGAAGAACGAGGGUGAGAGUGGAAAGUUCACACUGUGACGGUAACUGACCAGAAAGGGACGGCUAACUACGUG
This 495-nucleotide ribosomal RNA is filed under the name uncultured bacterium. RNAcentral's name for it is "partial 16S ribosomal RNA". It matches the Rfam family "Bacterial small subunit ribosomal RNA", at positions 28 to 507 of the family's 1533-position model. The record is from RNAcentral.